RNAcentral lists this ribosomal RNA (473 nucleotides) under uncultured bacterium. RNAcentral's name for it is "bacterial SSU rRNA". It matches the Rfam family "Bacterial small subunit ribosomal RNA", at positions 27 to 518 of the family's 1533-position model. The record is from RNAcentral.
GGACGAACGCUGGCGGCGUGCUUAACACAUGCAAGUCGAGCGGAGAAUAUAGCAAUAUAUCUUAGCGGCGGACGGGUGAGUAACGCGUGGGCAAUCUGCCUCAGUACAGGGGGAUAACACUGGGAAACUAGUGCUAAUACCGCAUAAAAUAGUGAAGUGGCAUCACUUUACUAUCAAAGGAGCAAUCCGGUGUGAGAUGAGCCCGCGUCCGAUUAGCUAGUUGGAGGGUAACGGCCCACCAAGGCGACGAUCGGUAGCCGAACUGAGAGGUUGAUCGGCCACAUUGGGACUGAGACACGGCCCAGACUCCUACGGGAGGCAGCAGUGGGGAAUAUUGCGCAAAAUGGGGGAAACCCUGACGCAGCAACGCCGCGUGAAGGAUGAAGGUUUUCGGAUUGUAAACUUCUUUGAUUGGGGACGAUAAUGACGGUACCCAAAAAACAAGCCACGGCUAACUACGUGCCAGCCGCAGC